CCUACGGGUGGCAGCAGUCGAGAAUCAUUCACAAUGGGGGAAACCCUGCUGGUGCGACGCCGCGUGGGGGAAUGAAGGUCUUCGGAUUGUAACCCCCUGUCAUGUGGGCGCAAAUUAAAAAGAUAGUACCACAAGAGUAAGAGACGGCUAACUCUGUGCCAGCAGCCGCGGUAAUACCGAGUUCUCACGCGUUGUUCGGAAUCACUGUGCGUAAAGCGUGCGUAGGCAGUUUCGUAAGUCGUGUGUGAAAGGCGCGGGCUCAACCCGCGGACGGCACAUGAUACUGCGAGACUAGAGUAAUGGAGGGGGAACCGGAAUUCUCGGUGUAGCAGUGAAAGGCGUAGAUAUCGAGAGGAACACUCGUGGCGAAGGCGGGUUCCUGGACAUUAACUGACGCUGAGGCACGAAGGCCAGGGGAGCGAAAGGGAUUAGAUACCCGAGUAGUC
RNAcentral lists this ribosomal RNA (446 nucleotides) under uncultured bacterium. RNAcentral's name for it is "partial 16S ribosomal RNA". It matches the Rfam family "Bacterial small subunit ribosomal RNA", at positions 338 to 795 of the family's 1533-position model. The record is from RNAcentral.